This 357-nucleotide ribosomal RNA is filed under the name Triticum aestivum (bread wheat). RNAcentral describes it as "partial small subunit ribosomal RNA". Lineage: Eukaryota; Viridiplantae; Streptophyta; Magnoliopsida; Poales; Poaceae. The record is from RNAcentral.
AUGUUCAUUGGGUAUGUGAAGUUCAUGUCAGUGGGUGUCAGGAUAAUAAAAACUAGGAUACUACCCGCUGAAGGUAAAACCCGCCCCCGAAAAGGUCCAGGGUCCGAUUACAUAAAAGCGAUCCAGGAAAUCAAUGAAUGUCAUCCCUGUCAUCACCAAAGCAGGCGGAUCCCCGAGCAUACAUACGUCACCAAAGCAGGCGGAUCUGCUAGCACAAGUGUAGAUACAACACACACAUUUUACUCUCAAGUCUGCACAAUAAUACCAGAUGCCUCGCAAGCCUGCGCAACUCAUGUAGAUACAACACACACAUUUUACUCUCUGGAUAUAUGGACAAUCUCUGUUCACAGCUGCUAG